This is a non-coding RNA of Paramuricea clavata, 204 nucleotides long. The record is from the annotation of a GenBank genome assembly. Lineage: Eukaryota; Metazoa; Cnidaria; Anthozoa; Malacalcyonacea; Plexauridae.
CCGGUGGCAUGUCUUUUGUCUCGGUUGUGCUAACAAUUUCCACCAGAUCUGCAUGAUCUUCAUCUACGAACUCUAUACCAUCUUCUGAUUCUUCUCUCAGUCGUUUCAAUUCCUUCUUCAUUUUUUCCUUCUGAUUAUCCACCUUCACUUCCAAGCCCUUUCUGGACAAUUUGAUUUGAUUGCAUUUGAUAUGCGGUGGUUUCU